This is a long non-coding RNA of Xiphophorus hellerii (green swordtail), 391 nucleotides long. RefSeq lists it as uncharacterized. The record is from RefSeq and is a predicted model, not a curated record. The transcript is spliced from 2 exons. Lineage: Eukaryota; Metazoa; Chordata; Actinopteri; Cyprinodontiformes; Poeciliidae.
CGGGGAAGACCCAGGACACGCUGGAGGGACUAUGUCUCUCGGCUGGGAACGCCUCGGGAUUCCCCCGGAGGAGCUGAAUUAUUCAUAGUGGACUCACGGGAUUAUAUUGCAUUGUGUAACCCGCAAUUAGUAAAGGACUUUUAUUUUUGCGGGCCCACUUCCUGUGUUGCCCGAACUCUGCUAACUUAUUUAAAGCCACGCCUCCAGUGCGCAGUAAAAGAUCCUCACCUGUUCCACUGAUUGUGGCUUGCUGUUGGCGUCUUCCUCAGGAAUUCCUCCAAAAAUCUUUGAACCUAUUGAUUUGAUUGCUGGAAUCACUGGCAUUGUUUACCUGGACCGCCACCAGGAUUCUGUUAGUGCUGAUUGUGGCUCAGUACGCCCCACUCUCUUC